UGGGGAAUUUGGACAAUGGGCGAAGCCUGAUCCAGCAAUGCCGCGUGUGUGAAGAAGGCCUUCGGGUUGUAAAGCACUUUUGUCCGGAAAGAAAUCCUUGGCUCUAAUACAGUCGGGGGAUGACGGUACCGGAAGAAUAAGCACCGGCUAACUACGUGCCAGCAGCCGCGGUAAUACGUAGGGUGCAAGCGUUAAUCGGAAUUACUGGGCGUAAAGCGUGCGCAGGCGGUUUGCUAAGACCGAUGUGAAAUCCCCGGGCUCAACCUGGGAACUGCAUUGGUGACUGGCAGGCUAGAGUAUGGCAGAGGGGGGUAGAAUUCCACGUGUAGCAGUGAAAUGCGUAGAGAUGUGGAGGAAUACCGAUGGCGAAGGCAGCCCCCUGGGCCAAUACUGACGCUCAUGCACGAAAGCGUGGGGAGCAAACAGGAUUAGAUACCCUGGUAGUCCACGCCCUAAACGAUGUCAACUAGUUGUUGGGGAUUCAUUUCCUUAGUAACGUAGCUAACGUGUGAAGUUGACCGCCUGGGGAGUACGGUCGCAAGAUUAAAACUCAAAUGAAUUGACGGGGUCAUAGCUG
Molecule: ribosomal RNA, 577 nt
Filed under: uncultured bacterium
Lineage: Bacteria
Description: partial 16S ribosomal RNA
Rfam family: Bacterial small subunit ribosomal RNA
Source: RNAcentral